RNAcentral lists this ribosomal RNA (489 nucleotides) under uncultured bacterium. Its description in RNAcentral is "partial 16S ribosomal RNA". It matches the Rfam family "Bacterial small subunit ribosomal RNA", at positions 30 to 507 of the family's 1533-position model. The record is from RNAcentral.
AUUGAACGCUGGCGGCAGGCCUAACACAUGCAAGUCGAACGGUAACAGGAAGAAGCUUGCUUCUUUGCUGACGAGUGGCGGACGGGUGAGUAAUGUCUGGGAAACUGCCUGAUGGAGGGGGAUAACUACUGGAAACGGUAGCUAAUACCGCAUAACGUCGCAAGACCAAAGAGGGGGACCUUCGGGCCUCUUGCCAUCGGAUGUGCCCAGAUGGGAUUAGCUAGUAGGUGGGGUAACGGCUCACCUAGGCGACGAUCCUAGCUGGUCUGAGAGGAUGACCAGCCACACUGGAACUGAGACACGGUCCAGACUCCUACGGGAGGCAGCAGUGGGGAAUAUUGCACAAUGGGCGCAAGCCUGAUGCAGCCAUGCCGCGUGUAUGAAGAAGGCCUUCGGGUUGUAAAGUACUUUCAGCGGGGAGGAAGGGAGUAAAGUUAAUACCUUUGCUCAUUGACGUUACCCGCAGAAGAAGCACCGGCUAACUCCGUG